GCAAGCGUUAUCCGGAAUUACUGGGCGUAAAGCGCACGCAGGCGGUCUUUUAAGUUUGACGUGAAAGCUCCCGGCUUAACUGGGAGAGGUCGUUGAAGACUGGAAGACUUGAGGCAAUGGGAGGGGUGUAGAAUUCCCGGUGUAGUGGUGGAAUGCGUAGAUAUCGGGGGGAAUACCAGUGGCGAAAGCGGCACCCUAGCGUUAGCCUGACGCUCAUGUGCGAAAGCGUGGGGAGCGAACGGG
Molecule: ribosomal RNA, 243 nt
Filed under: uncultured bacterium
Lineage: Bacteria
Description: partial 16S ribosomal RNA
Rfam family: Bacterial small subunit ribosomal RNA
Source: RNAcentral